This 28-nucleotide ribosomal RNA is filed under the name Dioclea sericea. RNAcentral describes it as "partial 18S ribosomal RNA". RNAcentral also lists the same sequence under 2 other names. The record is from RNAcentral. Lineage: Eukaryota; Viridiplantae; Streptophyta; Magnoliopsida; Fabales; Fabaceae.
CCUGGUUGAUCCUGCCAGUAGUCAUAUG